RNAcentral lists this transfer RNA (74 nucleotides) under Acidobacteriota bacterium. RNAcentral describes it as "tRNA-Gly". It matches the Rfam family "tRNA". From Rfam's summary of the family: Transfer RNA (tRNA) molecules are approximately 80 nucleotides in length. Their secondary structure includes four short double-helical elements and three loops (D, anti-codon, and T loops). RNAcentral also lists the same sequence under 3 other names. Lineage: Bacteria; Pseudomonadati; Acidobacteriota. The record is from RNAcentral.
GCGGGCUUAGCAUAGUGGUAAUGUUCUGGCUUCCCAAGCCAGCUAGACGGGUUCGAUUCCCGUAGCCCGCUCCA